GUGUCAGCAGCCGCGGUAAUACGUAGGUGGCGAGCGUUGUCCGGAAUUACUGGGUGUAAAGGGAGCGCAGGCGGGGAGCCAAGUUGGAUGUGAAAUACCGCAGCUCAACUGCGGGGCUGCAUCCAAAACUGGUUCUCUUGAGUGAAGUAGAGGUAGGCGGAAUUCCUAGUGUAGCGGUGAAAUGCGUAGAUAUUAGGAGGAACACCAGUGGCGAAGGCGGCCUACUGGGCUUUAACUGACGCUGAGGCUCGAAAGCGUGGGGAGCAAACAGGAUUAGAUACCCUGGUAGUCCACGCUGUAAACGAUGAUUACUAGGUGUGGGGCGGUCUGACCCGUUCCGUGCCGGAGUUAACACAAUAAGUAAUCCACCUGGGGAGUACGGCCGCAAGGUUGAA
This 395-nucleotide ribosomal RNA is filed under the name uncultured bacterium. RNAcentral's name for it is "bacterial SSU rRNA". It matches the Rfam family "Bacterial small subunit ribosomal RNA", at positions 505 to 898 of the family's 1533-position model. The record is from RNAcentral.